RNAcentral lists this ribosomal RNA (385 nucleotides) under uncultured bacterium. RNAcentral's name for it is "bacterial SSU rRNA". It matches the Rfam family "Bacterial small subunit ribosomal RNA", at positions 30 to 417 of the family's 1533-position model. The record is from RNAcentral.
AUUGAACGCUGGCGGCAUGCUUUACACAUGCGAGUCGAACGGGGUGAGGGGGCAACUCUUCAUUCAGUGGCGAACGGGUGAGUAAUACAUCGGAACGUACCCCGUAGUGGGGGAUAACUCGGCGAAAGCCGUGCUAAUACCGCAUAUGCUCUACGGAGGAAAGCAGGGGACCGCAGGGCCUUGUGCUAUGGGAGCGGCCGAUGUCCGAUUAGCUAGUUGGUGAGGUAAUGGCUCACCAAGGCGACGAUCGGUAGCUGGUCUGAGAGGAUGAUCAGCCACACUGGGACUGAGACACGGCCCAGACUCCUACGGGAGGCGGCAGUGGGGAAUUUUGGACAAUGGGGGCAACCCUGAUCCAGCCAUGCCGCGUGCGGGAAGAAGGCCU